AACCAAGUAUGAUGAUUGACUUACCGCCCCAGCCUGAAGAAUGUGAUGACGGUUUUCUCUGAAAGGAG
RNAcentral lists this small nucleolar RNA (68 nucleotides) under Penaeus japonicus. Lineage: Eukaryota; Metazoa; Arthropoda; Malacostraca; Decapoda; Penaeidae. The record is from RNAcentral.